GUCUACAGCCAUACCUCCCUGGAUGCACCUGAUCUCAUCAGAACUGAGAGAUAGCAUGGUGUGGGCUCGUGGGCAGAAAAGUUGCAGGAU
This 90-nucleotide ribosomal RNA is filed under the name Otolemur garnettii (small-eared galago). The record is from RNAcentral. Lineage: Eukaryota; Metazoa; Chordata; Mammalia; Primates; Galagidae.